AUGUCGGAUCUCCCGGAUUAUCUAAUACCAAGACUAAAGAUGCAAUUCAAAGAUGUAGAGAAAGCAAGGGAAUUUUAUAACAGAUACGCCAGACACGCUGGUUUUGGAAUUAGGAAGACGGGAGGGAAUGACAAUCACAAGUAUUUUGUUUGCACGUUCCAAGGGAAACACACGACUUCUGUUUCAGAGGCUGACAGGCAACGAAACAAAACAUCGCAGAGGACAGGCUGCAAUGCAAGAAUGAGGGUGAAGGUGUAGGAGGAUAACACAUGCGUGGCAGUGGACAUUGAGUACAAUCAUAAUCACCACCUCAUGCAAACUGAUGACAUGCUGGUUUUCUUGCACUCACACAAGAAUUAUGACCCCACUAUUUUGGAGUACCUAAACCUGCAGUACCGUGAUGUCAAGCACACAACAAUCAUGUCCAUGCUAUCUGAAAAUGAAGAUGCAAGCUACUUCCUAAGCAUGACCGGACGAGACUUACUAAACCAGAAAGCCAUGAAUGCCAGGAAAGAUGAUUUGGAUGAUGUGUUGAAACUCGUUUCAUUCUUCAAGGACAUGAAGGCAAUCAAUGAUGAAUUUUUCUAUGAUAUACAAGUAGACAAGGACAAGUCAAUUAAAAUCAUUUUCUGGUCCAAGGCAAGCUGUCGAGGAGCGUAUCAAGACUUUGGCGAUUGCGUAACCUUUGACACAACUUACAAAACCAACAGAUUUCAUAUGCCUCUGGAAGUGUUUGUUGGAACAAACCGUCACUUGUAGUCAACAAUAUUUGCUGUUGCCCUUAUCAGAGACGAAGAUGCAAUGUCAUUCAAGUGGCUGUUUGAUACAUUUGUACGGUGCAUGAACAACAAGCACCCAACUUGCAUUCUAACAGACCAGUGCCCGUCGAUGGCGAAAGCUAUACCACAAUCAUUCCCAAACACCGUCCACAAGCUAUGCCGUUGGCACAUCCUGAAGAAGUACAAGGAAUACCUCGAGUCGCUGUACAAAAAGUACAAAACAUUCAAAGAGGAGUUCACAGCUAUAUUAAACUGGCCGCUGAUGCCAACGGAGUUUGAAAUUGCCUAGGCUGAACUCAUGCACAUGUACAACCUGGAGAACGACCAGAUGAUGAUGUAG
RNAcentral lists this ribosomal RNA (1119 nucleotides) under Triticum aestivum (bread wheat). RNAcentral describes it as "partial small subunit ribosomal RNA". The record is from RNAcentral. Lineage: Eukaryota; Viridiplantae; Streptophyta; Magnoliopsida; Poales; Poaceae.